UCUCAAGCGAUAAUGCGAAACACGCGGAGCCGCGCUCGCGUCGACUGCCCUUAUGUACGGAUGCUACGAAUCGCUCGAAGGUCGCGGACGAUCUUGUUUACGCGCAUAUACUCGACGCGUAUAUACGCGCCGCGCCGGGGUGAGCGAACGUCGAGCGCCGCGCGCCGACCGAGUUAUUUCACUUGUUUCUUCGUGCGUAAUACGCGCGUAUUGUGCGUACACACCGCGCGCCUAGGAAAUCGCGAAUCAGUCUCGAAACGGUGAGCUAUCGCCGCGCGUCCCGCGCUUCGUUCCGUAACCUCAUUACAAUCGCGAAAGAAUUGAACGUGGCCUCUUUCUCGUCGUGCUAUCUCUGAACGAUAUAAGUAUAAUCCCGACGUUCGGAUUCAAGUGUAUCUCGCGUCACGCGUUAGAUCGUAAUUUAAAUACAUACGCGUCGCGUCGCGUUGCUCUAAACCCAGAGUAUCAAACGCGAAGUAUCAAAUAAAUUGUCGGCUCGAGUGAUUCAAUUGGCGGAAAAUCGCGGGAUGAUUGGUAAUAUUUCGAGUGAUUACGUUUGCGGUUAACAUCGGGAGUGUUGUGAAAAAUGCAUUGUUUUUAUAAAUGAGUGCAACGACGAGAUCUGAGAGAAGGAGACUUAGAUUAGGAAACAUCGGUGGAGAGUAGAUCCACAACGUAGUUGCAACUCCGCUGCUGCGCAUCGAAUUGAAAUAUCUCGCUAAUUUUCGCAGUCGACCGGAAUUAAAAUAACCUAACGAUUCAAGAUGAUUACAGCAAAUGAUAUUUUUAAUGCAAGCACAAAUAACUCUGACUAUUACUAUGACGAUGGAUACAUACCAUAUGAUCAAAGACCUGAAACUUAUUUCGUACCCAUAAUAUUUUUGUUAAUUUUGAUCGUGGGCGUAAUAGGAAAUGGUGUACUGAUUAUUAUACUACUAUGUCAUGCCGCUAUGAGAAAUAUACCAAACACGUAUGUGCUGUCUUUAGCUGUAGGGGAUUUAUUGGUGAUUAUAAUUAGCGUACCUUUCACAUCAAUUGUUUAUACAUAUGAAUCGUGGCCAUGGGGCGUAACUAUCUGCAAAGCAUCUGAAUAUGCUAAGGAUAUUUCGAUUGGUGUCUCAGUAUUUACUUUAGCUGCUUUAUCAGCUGAAAGAUAUUGCGCCAUCGUCAAUCCCAUCCGUCGCCAUAUAGCAGGUUUAAACGCAAAACCGCUUACCAUUUUAAUGGCUCUCCUUAUUUGGGUCUUUGCAAUUGUCGCAGCCUUGCCCGCCGUGCUCUACUCCGAAGUAGAAACUGUAAUAUUAGUUAACAACCAGACCAUUUUCUUCUGCAACCCUUUUCCGAAAAGUCUUGGGAAGACCUACGAAAAGGGUAUGAUAAUAUUUAAAUUUUUAGCAUAUUAUCUGAUACCGUUAUGCGUGAUAGCUGGUUUCUAUUUGGGUAUGGCAUGGAAUUUAGCGUUGUCAACCAGAAACAUAAUAACUCGUGUUAAUCUCCAUAAUGAUCAGAUAAAUGCGCGCAAAAGGGUGAGCAGAAUGGUAGUGUGUUUCAUAAUUAUUUUCGUGAUUUGUUUUAUGCCGCAUCAUAUAUUUAUGCUGUGGUUCCAUUUUAAUCCCACGUCUCAUGAAGAUUAUAAUUAUUCUUGGCAUUACUUCAGGAUGGUUGCUUUCUGUCUCAGUUUCAGCAAUAGUUGUGUUAAUCCUAUAGCUCUCUACCUAAUUAGCCGCACGUUUCGUAAAAAAUUUAACAAAUAUUUAUGCUGUUGCGUAUCGGCCCGUUCCGCUAGCUGCGAAAGAGAGAGAAUGGGAAACAGUAUAAUUCGCGGACAUGGUGUUUCUUCACAAAGAACUCGUCGAUUGUUUACCAGUUUUGGUUCCACCUUUCGGAGGCGUACUCAAGAAUAUAAUUCGACCGGAGUAUUUGAAAUGGGUAGCAUACACUAGGAAAAAUAUUAUGUUCUACGAAUCAAAAUUUUAUCGUGACAACAAAAUAAUUCAGUUAAAAUGAAAAACGGAAGGCGUGAAAUAAAUAUAGAAUUCAACGCAAAUUAUACGAGAUAUCAUGAUAUUCCACGUACCACUAGAUGCAGCCAUAAAAAUUAUUUUGUUACAGUCUAUUUAAACAUUCAUGAUUACUGGUUAUUAGUGCUCGCUGUGGUUUUACAAAAACUGAAAUUUAAUUUUGCAGGUAACAGAAAUUUUUACAAAUGUAUACUCUCUAUGUAAUUUUGAGAAAAAUGUUACGUAUUAAUUUUUUAACUGUAAUAUUGGAGGCCUUGAAUGUGAAUCGCAAAUAAUAUUAUUGGAUUGAAUGUGUGUAACUCAGCAAAUAAAGUUAUGUUAUAUGUGAACUGUGAUUGUGGAUUAUGGUUAUCCACAUCUUUCUUGCGAUCUCUCUUUGCAAUCUCAUUGUAAACAUACAAUGUUAGAAGCAAAGGAAUUAUUUUAAAAAGUUUUGCUUAUAACAUGACUUUAUUUGUCGAAUUUAUACAUACACUAAGACACACAUUAAAUUUAAUAAUAUUAUUUGAAAUUUACAUUCAAGCACUAAACUUUCUUUCCUAGUGUAUAAAUGAUUACCGUCGAUUAAAAAUGUUUUUAUAGGUAAUUUAACUUAUGCUAUAAUUUAUCCAUCUAAUGAUUGAUGAUGGACAUUAAUGUUAAUUGCAGUACAAGUUGCAGUGCCAUCACUAAUAAUAAUAACGAACUAAAACUUCGUCGAGAUGCGUGUAAAAGUAAUUGGUUCCUCGAGAUAAAUUAGAUCUUAUUUUAGAUAUUUCAUAUUUUUUUUUAAUUUGAAUAGUUUAAGUAAACUGUGUGUAUAUAUUGUAUAUCUAUGUAUACAAGGUGCAACUGUGUAUAUACUUAUAUAUGUAUACAUAAAUAACUUAUAUAUGUAUAUAUGUAUACACACAGUUACACACAAUAUACAUAUACAUGUAUAAAUAAAUUAUUGAUCAAUGUAAAUUACAGUACCAGUCAAUUAUAAGAACAUCCUUAAUUGACGAUGGAUCUCUCUACACUAAGAAAAGAAAUUUAGUUUAGUUGAGACAUUUUUUAACAAUAACCAAAUAUGUUGUUUUAUAUGACAAAAGAUUUAGUUGCUUUCACAAAAUAUAUUUUUCUAUUUUGUGCCGUGGACCAAAUAUUUUUAUAAAUAAAAAGAUAAUAAGCAGGUUUUAGGCUUAUAUUAUUUUUGAAAUGUUUAUGGAAAGUAGAGUCCGACCGAAUAUUCGGUUUCUGCCAGUUUUGGCUAAAAAUUUAAAGAUUGGCUAAAUUUCGGCCGAAACUGAAGGAAAGUUUUGGCGACGUGACCGAAACUAACAUUUAUUAAUGUAAAACAAUUAUUUUUAUACUAAUUUGCCAAAAACUUGCUUAAAAAUAAUUUUAUGUUUUGAAAUUUUGUUGUUAAUAAAAUAAUAUGAUUUGUAAUGCUACAAAAAUAAUAUAACGAAUAAUAUGUGUUACAGUUUGUAAUAAAAAAAUUGUACUCUAAUAAAAAGGUAAUAAUAAUACUUAACACGUUAUAAAUGACUAAUAAUUAAUCAAUAUUCUUAAUGAAGAGAAAAAAAUAUGUAUGUAUGUACACACAAUGUAUAUUGGCUUGUGCAUGCGCCUAUACAUAUAUUCCUUUCUAGGAUUUUCAUAUGUUAUAAAAGUUUUUUCUAAAAGUUUCGAUUACGGUUUCGGAUUCGGCCGAAACUAAAAACCGACUGAAUAUUCGGUCUCAAUUUCGCCGAAACUAAAAAAAAGUGAUUUCGGUUGAAUUCUAAUGGAAAUAUUAAUUUGGAUCAAAGUUUCUGAGACCUGAUACUAUGACGAGUUUUGUUUCAUCCGUUUCGUUUUCUCACGCUCUUUUCUCGUGUAAUAUUUACUAUAAGAUUUAAUUUAACUGUGUGUAUGUGUGUGUUGCGCGUGCGAGGGGAUAUGUGUGUGUAUCUGUAUUAGUGUAUAAUACUAGCUACUUAAUCAGCGUUAUAUACAUACAUACAUAUACAUAUAUAUAUAUAUAUAUAUAUAUAUAUAUAUAUAUAUAUAUAUGUGUAUUGAUGUAUUUGUGCAUAUAUGUAAAUUAUACAUAUAGAGUUCCUUUAAUUGUAAGUACGCUCAUUACACGUUUACUUCGUCUAUCGCUCGAAGUUUAUAAGAUAAUAUAUUGAUUGAAAAUAUGUGAUACAAUCAGCGAUAUGAAAUACAAAUCAAUAAAAUUCUGUUCUGUAACAAGCUUCUUAUUAUAAUAUGUUUAAAUUAGAUUUAUGAUUUACCCACUAAAUACGAAUAAGUAAUUUAAGUACUUUAAAAUAAUUUAAAUUAACAAGAACGUUCAACAUCAACGUCUGUUUACUCCUUGUAUAUCAUUAAUACGAAAUACUUCGGAACAACUUAUUCGAUAAAUUUUCAUAAAGGAAAAAUCAAUUUCACGUAAUUUAAAAAACUAAUUUCGAGACAUUAAUACGUUGCUCGAAAACAUUGUACAUUUUGUAAGAUGACCAACUCUAAGAUAUAUUGUAUAUUUUUAUAUAUGUUUUCCUUCAUAUGAUUGAACCAUAAUAAAGAUAACUCGCUGUGCGUAAUUUGACGCAAAAA
Molecule: RNA transcript, 4586 nt
Organism: Solenopsis invicta (red fire ant)
Lineage: Eukaryota; Metazoa; Arthropoda; Insecta; Hymenoptera; Formicidae
Gene name: neuropeptide CCHamide-2 receptor
Exons: 10
Source: RefSeq, a predicted model, not a curated record